RNAcentral lists this ribosomal RNA (196 nucleotides) under Sardinops sagax (South American pilchard). RNAcentral's name for it is "partial 16S ribosomal RNA". The record is from RNAcentral. Lineage: Eukaryota; Metazoa; Chordata; Actinopteri; Clupeiformes; Clupeidae.
AACCAACCACGAAAAGCGACCCUAACUGGAGCCCCAAACAACGUGAUUCCUGGCAUAAGUGUCUUCGGUUGGGGCGACCACGGGAGAUAGCACAGCUCCCGAGUGGAUGGGGGACACCCUAAAACCCAGAGCCACAGCUCUAAGUCACAAAACAUUUGACCAAUAAUGAUCCGGCUUAAUGCCGACCAACGGACCA